UCCAGACUCCUACGGGAGGCAGCAGUGGGGAAUAUUGCACAAUGGGGGGAACCCUGAUGCAGCGACGCCGCGUGGGUGAAGAAGUCAUUCGUGACGUAAAGCCCUAUCAGCAGGGAAGAAAAUGACGGUACCUGACUAAGAAGCCCCGGCUAACUACGUGCCAGCAGCCGCGGUAAUACGUAGGGGGCAAGCGUUAUCCGGAUUUACUGGGUGUAAAGGGAGCGUAGACGGCGGCGCAAGUCCGGAGUGAAAGCCCACGGCCCAACCGUGGGACUGCUCUGGAAACUGGGCGGGUUGAGUGCGGGAGGGGCAGGCGGAAUUCCUAGGGUAGCGGUGAAAUGCGUAGAUAUUAGGAGGAACACCGGCGGCGAAGGCGGC
Molecule: ribosomal RNA, 378 nt
Filed under: uncultured bacterium
Lineage: Bacteria
Description: partial 16S ribosomal RNA
Rfam family: Bacterial small subunit ribosomal RNA
Source: RNAcentral